This 608-nucleotide ribosomal RNA is filed under the name uncultured bacterium. RNAcentral's name for it is "bacterial SSU rRNA". It matches the Rfam family "Bacterial small subunit ribosomal RNA", at positions 64 to 649 of the family's 1533-position model. The record is from RNAcentral.
CGACUACAAAGCGGUUUUUAAUCGCGAGUAAAGUGGCGAACGGGUGAGUAACGCGUGGGAAACCUGCCCUCGAGUGGGGGAUAACAUUCCUAACGGAAUGCUAAUACCGCAUAACAUUACAGGUCUCAUGUCCUGUAAUCAAAGGUGGCCUCUACUUGUAAGCUGUCGCUUGAGGAUGGUCCCGCGUCCCAUUAGCUUGUUGGUAGGGUAACGGCCUACCAAGGCGACGAUGGGUAGCCGGCCUGAGAGGGUGACCGGCCACACUGGGACUGAGACACGGCCCAGACUCCUACGGGAGGCAGCAGUCGAGAGGCUUCGGCAAUGGGGGAAACCCUGACCGAGCGACGCCGCGUGGACGAUGAAGUUUUUCGGAACGUAAAGUCCUGUCAUACGGGAUGAAAAGUGGAUUGGUUAAUAGCCUUUCCGCCUGACAGUACCGUAAGAGGAAGCUCCGGCUAACUCCGUGCCAGCAGCCGCGGUAAUACGGGGGGAGCGAGCGUUAUUCGGAUUUAUUGGGCGUAAAGGGUUCGUAGGCGGUCAGGUCAGUCAGGGGUGAAAUCUAACAGCUCAACUGUUAAACUGCCCUUGAAACUUCCUGACUUGAGUAC